RNAcentral lists this ribosomal RNA (251 nucleotides) under uncultured bacterium. Its description in RNAcentral is "partial 16S ribosomal RNA". It matches the Rfam family "Bacterial small subunit ribosomal RNA", at positions 79 to 334 of the family's 1533-position model. The record is from RNAcentral.
AAACCAAAGCUGGCGACCGGCGCACGGGUGAGUAACACGUAUCCAACCUGCCUCAUACUCGGGGAUAGCCUUUCGAAAGAAAGAUUAAUAUCCGAUAGCAUAUAUUUCCCGCAUGGGUUUUAUAUUAAAGAAAUUCGGUAUGAGAUGGGGAUGCGUUCCAUUAGUUUGUGGGGGUAACGGCCCACCAAGACUACGAUGGAUAGGGGUUCUGAGAGGAAGGUCCCCCACAUUGGAACUGAGACACGGUCCAA